This 923-nucleotide ribosomal RNA is filed under the name Phytopythium vexans. RNAcentral's name for it is "eukaryotic LSU rRNA". The record is from RNAcentral. Lineage: Eukaryota; Oomycota; Peronosporomycetes; Pythiales; Pythiaceae.
UUUUUUUGGGGGGGGGGGGGUUAACAGGUUUCCGUAGGUGWACCUGCGGAAGGAUCAUUACCACACCUAAAAACACCCUUCCACGUGAACCGUUUUGUUUUGCUUUCGAGUGCUUUUGUGGCGCUCGGAGCAUGUUUUGGGCUUCGCUGCUGGCGCUUGAUUGUGCUGGCGGCUCGAGGCCAUCAAGCGGCGUUUUGAGUGUGUGUUCGCAUACAAUUAAAACGUCCAAACCUUUUAAACCCAUUUGAUUGCAAACUGAAGUAUACUGUGGGGACGAAAGUCCUCGCUUUGAAACUAGAUAACAACUUUCAGCAGUGGAUGUCUAGGCUCGCACAUCGAUGAAGAACGCUGCGAACUGCGAUACGUAAUGCGAAUUGCAGGAUUCAGUGAGUCAUCGAACUUUUGAACGCAUAUUGCACUUUCGGGUUACGCCUGGAAGUAUGUCUGUAUCAGUGUCCGUACACUAAACUUGCGUCUCUUCCGUCGUGUAGUCGUCGGUUGUUUGAUUGCAGAUGUGAGGUUGUCUCGCGAUCCGUUGCUUGUCGACAGUGUUGCGAGUCCCUUUAAAGUCGGACGCGUGUUUUUUCCGUUUUGUGCUUGAUGGGGUGCGGCUGCGGCCGUGUCUGCUGGCGGGUCUGGUGACCUUUGGCGAUGGCAUGAGAGUGGAUUGCUCGAUUUGCGGUAUGUUAGGCUUCGGCUUUGACAAUGCAGCUUAUUGUGUGUGUUCGCUUGGCUGUUGCUGUAUGGGUGARCUGGAUGGUCGGUGGGNUGCGUUGUUGCGUGUCGUUUUCAUUGAGUGCGUUUCGGUUGUCGUCGCCAUUUGGGAAUUUAUGGUCUCUAAGGAGAGCAUCUCAUUUGGACCUGAUAUCAGACAAGAUUACCCGCUGAACUUAGCAUUCAAAAUAAGGGGGGGGAAAAAAAAA